CACAGGGAGGUAGUGACAAAAAAUAACGAUGUGAGGCCUUUACGGCGUCACAAUCGCAAUGAAGCGAAUUUAAAUCACUUCAUGAGUAACAAUUGGAGGGCAAGUCUGGUGCCAGCAGCCGCGGUAAUUCCAGCUCCAAGAGCAUAUAUUAAAGUUGUUGCAGUUAAAAAGCUCGUAGUUGACUCUCGGACGAGGACGCCCGGUCCGGCCAUCGGUCGGCACUGGGCGGGCCGAGUCUUACGUCCUGGGGACGGCCGGUGCUCUUGACUGGGUGCCGGCCACGCGAACCAGGAGGAUUACUUUGAAAAAAGUAGAGUGUUCAAAGCAGGCAAUGCGCGCUUGAAUACCUUAGCAUGGAAUAAUAAAGUAGACGCUGGUUCUAUUUUAUUGGUUGCAGG
This 398-nucleotide ribosomal RNA is filed under the name uncultured eukaryote. RNAcentral describes it as "SSU rRNA". It matches the Rfam family "Eukaryotic small subunit ribosomal RNA", at positions 455 to 854 of the family's 1831-position model. The record is from RNAcentral.